Molecule: ribosomal RNA, 1027 nt
Filed under: Klebsiella aerogenes
Lineage: Bacteria; Pseudomonadati; Pseudomonadota; Gammaproteobacteria; Enterobacterales; Enterobacteriaceae
Description: bacterial SSU rRNA
Rfam family: Bacterial small subunit ribosomal RNA
Source: RNAcentral
UGCAAGUCGAGCGGUAACACAGAGAGCUUGCUCUCGGGUGACGAGCGGCGGACGGGUGAGUAAUGUCUGGGAAACUGCCUGAUGGAGGGGGAUAACUACUGGAAACGGUAGCUAAUACCGCAUAAUGUCGCAAGACCAAAGUGGGGGACCUUCGGGCCUCAUGCCAUCAGAUGUGCCCAGAUGGGAUUAGCUAGUAGGUGGGGUAAUGGCUCACCUAGGCGACGAUCCCUAGCUGGUCUGAGAGGAUGACCAGCCACACUGGAACUGAGACACGGUCCAGACUCCUACGGGAGGCAGCAGUGGGGAAUAUUGCACAAUGGGCGCAAGCCUGAUGCAGCCAUGCCGCGUGUAUGAAGAAGGCCUUCGGGUUGUAAAGUACUUUCAGCGAGGAGGAAGGCGUUAAGGUUAAUAACCUUGGUGAUUGACGUUACUCGCAGAAGAAGCACCGGCUAACUCCGUGCCAGCAGCCGCGGUAAUACGGAGGGUGCAAGCGUUAAUCGGAAUUACUGGGCGUAAAGCGCACGCAGGCGGUCUGUCAAGUCGGAUGUGAAAUCCCCGGGCUCAACCUGGGAACUGCAUUCGAAACUGGCAGGCUAGAGUCUUGUAGAGGGGGGUAGAAUUCCAGGUGUAGCGGUGAAAUGCGUAGAGAUCUGGAGGAAUACCGGUGGCGAAGGCGGCCCCCUGGACAAAGACUGACGCUCAGGUGCGAAAGCGUGGGGAGCAAACAGGAUUAGAUACCCUGGUAGUCCACGCCGUAAACGAUGUCGACUUGGAGGUUGUGCCCUUGAGGCGUGGCUUCCGGAGCUAACGCGUUAAGUCGACCGCCUGGGGAGUACGGCCGCAAGGUUAAAACUCAAAUGAAUUGACGGGGGCCCGCACAAGCGGUGGAGCAUGUGGUUUAAUUCGAUGCAACGCGAAGAACCUUACCUACUCUUGACAUCCAGAGAACUUAGCAGAGAUGCUUUGGUGCCUUCGGGAACUCUGAGACAGGUGCUGCAUGGCUGUCGUCAGCUCGUGUUGUGAAAUG